RNAcentral lists this ribosomal RNA (266 nucleotides) under uncultured archaeon. RNAcentral's name for it is "partial 16S ribosomal RNA". It matches the Rfam family "Archaeal small subunit ribosomal RNA", at positions 748 to 1008 of the family's 1478-position model. The record is from RNAcentral.
AGGGUGUAAACGCUGCAGACUUGGUGUUGGAGGGCCCUUUUGGGGGGUCGAUUCAGUGCCGGAGAGAAGUUGUUAAGUCUGCUACUUGGGGAGUACGUCCGCAAGGAUGAAACUUAAAGGAAUUGGCGGGGGAGCACCGCAACGGGAGGAGCGUGCGGUUUAAUUGGAUUCAACACCGUAAAACUCACCAGGGAAGACUGUUACAUGAAGGCCGAGAUGAAGACUCUGCUAGAUUUUCAGAGAGGUGGUGCAUGGCGUCAGUGACU